Molecule: ribosomal RNA, 1197 nt
Filed under: Staphylococcus aureus
Lineage: Bacteria; Bacillati; Bacillota; Bacilli; Caryophanales; Staphylococcaceae
Description: bacterial LSU rRNA
Rfam family: Bacterial large subunit ribosomal RNA
Source: RNAcentral
AGAUUAAGUUAUUAAGGGCGCACGGUGGAUGCCUUGGCACUAGAAGCCGAUGAAGGACGUUACUAACGACGAUAUGCUUUGGGGAGCUGUAAGUAAGCUUUGAUCCAGAGAUUUCCGAAUGGGAAACCCAGCAUGAGUUAUGUCAUGUUAUCGAUAUGUGAAUACAUAGCAUAUCAGAAGGCACACCGGAGAACUGAAACAUCUUAGUACCCGGAGGAAGAGAAAGAAAAUUCGAUUCCCUUAGUAGCGGCGAGCGAAACGGGAAGAGCCCAAACCAACAGCUGCUUGUUGGGGUUGUAGGACACUCUAUACGAGUUACAAAGGACGACAUUAGACGAAUCAUCUGGAAAGAUGAAUCAAAGAAGUAUAAUCCUGUAGUCGAAAAUGUUGUCUCUCUUGAGUGGAUCCUGAGUACGACGGAGCACGUGAAAUUCCGUCGAAUCUGGGAGGACCAUCUCCUAAGGCUAAAUACUCUCUAGUGACGAUAGUGAACCAGUACCGUGAGGAAAGGUGAAAAGCACCCGGAAGGGGAGUGAAAUAGAACCUGAAACGUGUGCUUACAAGUAGUCAGAGCCCGUUAAUGGGUGAUGGCGUGCCUUUGGUAGAAUGAACCGGCGAGUUACGAUUUGAUGCAAGGUUAAGCAGUAAAUGUGGAGCCGUAGCGAAAGCGAGUCUGAUAGGGCGUUUAGUAUUUGGUCGUAGACCCGAAACCAGGUGAUCUACCCUUGUCAGGUGAAGUUCAGGUAACACUGAAUGGAGGACCGAACCGACUUACGUUGAAAAGUGAGCGAUGAACUGAGGGUAGCGAGAAAUUCCAAUCGAACCUGGAGAUAGCUGGUCUCUCCGAAAUAGCUUUAGGGCUAGCCUCAAGUGAUGAUUAAUUGGAGGUAAGCACUGUUGGACGAGGGCCCCUCUCGGGUUACCGAAUUCAGACAAACUCCGAAUGCCAAUUAAUUUAACUUGGGAGUCAGAACAUGGGUGAUAAGGUCCGUGUUCGAAAGGGAAACAGCCCAGACCACCAGCUAAGGUCCCAAAAUAUAUGUUAAGUGGAAAAGGAUGUGGCGUUGCCCAGACAACUAGGAUGUUGGCUUAGAAGCAGCCAUCAUUUAAAGAGUGCGUAAUAGCUCACUAGUCGAGUGACACUGCGCCGAAAAUGUACCGGGCUAAACAUAUUACCGAAGCUGUGGAUUGUCCUUU